This 459-nucleotide ribosomal RNA is filed under the name uncultured bacterium. RNAcentral describes it as "partial 16S ribosomal RNA". It matches the Rfam family "Bacterial small subunit ribosomal RNA", at positions 338 to 795 of the family's 1533-position model. The record is from RNAcentral.
CCUACGGGUGGCUGCAGUGAGGAAUAUUGGUCAAUGGGCGCGAGCCUGAACCAGCCAAGUAGCGUGAGGGAUGACUGCCCUGCGGAUUGUAAACUUCUUUUGUCAGGGAGCAAGGUGCAGGUCGGGACCUGCUGUGAGAGUACCUGAAGAAAAAGCAUCGGCUAACUCCGUGCCAGCAGCCGCGGUAAUACGGAGGAUGCGAGCGUUAUCCGGAUUUAUUGGGUUUAAAGGGUGCGCAGGCGGAGGCACAAGUCAGCGGUAAAAGCGCGGGGCUCAACCCCGCUCCGCCGUUGAAACUGGGUCCCUUGAGUGCGCGAAGGGUAGGCGGAAUGCGCGGUGUAGCGGUGAAAUGCAUAGAUAUCACGCAGAACUCCGAUCGCGAAGGCAGCAUACCGGCGCGCCACUGACGCUCAUGCACGAAAGCGUGGGUAUCGAACAGGAUUAGAUACCCUUGUAGUC